UACAGAGGGUGCAAGCGUUAAUCGGAAUUACUGGGCGUAAAGCGUGCGUAGGCGGUUCUUCAAGUCCGUUGUGAAAUCCCCGGGCUUAACCUGGGAAUGGCAGUGGAAACUAGAGGACUUGAAUCUGGCAGAGGGGGGUGGAAUUCCACGUGUAGCAGUGAAAUGCGUAGAGAUGUGGAGGAACACCGAUGGCGAAGGCAGCCCCCUGGGCUGAGAUUGACGCUGAGUGCACGAAAGCGUGGGGA
Molecule: ribosomal RNA, 245 nt
Filed under: uncultured Massilia sp.
Lineage: Bacteria; Pseudomonadati; Pseudomonadota; Betaproteobacteria; Burkholderiales; Oxalobacteraceae
Description: partial 16S ribosomal RNA
Rfam family: Bacterial small subunit ribosomal RNA
Source: RNAcentral